GGAAGCGUGGGGGAGUGGUUUAACCCAGCGGCCUUGAAAUCCGCCGGCGGCGCACACCGCCCGUGAGUUCGAAUCUCACCGCUUCCGCCA
This 90-nucleotide transfer RNA is filed under the name Rhodocyclaceae bacterium. RNAcentral's name for it is "tRNA-Ser". It matches the Rfam family "tRNA". Rfam says of the family: Transfer RNA (tRNA) molecules are approximately 80 nucleotides in length. Their secondary structure includes four short double-helical elements and three loops (D, anti-codon, and T loops). The record is from RNAcentral. Lineage: Bacteria; Pseudomonadati; Pseudomonadota; Betaproteobacteria; Rhodocyclales; Rhodocyclaceae.